RNAcentral lists this unclassified non-coding RNA (575 nucleotides) under Bombus terrestris (buff-tailed bumblebee). Its description in RNAcentral is "misc RNA ENSBTSG00005035780.1". Lineage: Eukaryota; Metazoa; Arthropoda; Insecta; Hymenoptera; Apidae. The record is from RNAcentral.
AAGAAAUGUGAAUUUUCAUGCACAUCCAUAGUUUAAUCGUGACAACUAAUGGAUUAUGGAUGAGAAUUUACGACAGUCCCCAUUGUCUAUGCACAUUUUCCUGUUUCAAAUGCAAAGCAGGCUAAUAAUUAGGUAAUCCUUGGAUAUGGUAAUGUUAUCUAACUUCAACGCUCAUUGUCGUAAUUUAAUGUAUUUAACUUUAGCUUUCUACGAUAGAUUGUUUCAGGAUUUUCCCCAUUCUAAAGCUAAAGUAAUACUCCUAUCUACAUCUCACCCACGGCGUCAUAUUUCAGGAUCUUCGUGAGUGGUAUAAACAUAUGAUUAUCUUCUCCAAAUUAUCGUCUACGACAAUUUUAAUGUAAGUAAGUAACUAUAAAAUUAGUAAAAUAUAUUGUAAAUAUUCUGUAUUUUUUAUAUAGUACGUUCACUUAAUUUAUAAUACUAGUCAAUUAGAUCUAGAUAUAAUGAAUAUCGUAUGGUUUAACAAUACUUUCAGUUACAAAAAAUUAUAAAAAUAUAUAAUCAGAAAAAAAAUUUAUUGGAAAGCUUUAAUGGAAAAUAAAUGUACACAUAUC